This 531-nucleotide long non-coding RNA is filed under the name Homo sapiens (human). RNAcentral describes it as "HSALNT0407170". Lineage: Eukaryota; Metazoa; Chordata; Mammalia; Primates; Hominidae. The record is from RNAcentral.
CCCUGAAAACAGCUGGCUGUCUGGUUGGAUCAGUCCCCCGUGGCAAACUCAGGACUCUGCGUUCCCAGUACUGGCUCACAGAAUCUGGUUGAAUCACCAAAAUGUGAAGACAAGCCUUCAGUUCCCUUCUUGACCACCAGCAUGGAACUAAACAAUUAAACCUGUCAGAAAAAAAAAAGCUGCUGUAUUUUAAGGUAACAGAGACAUGGACUUUUUAAGGUAACAGAGACAUGGACUUGAGAAGACAACUUGGCUCAAUUCCUAGCUCUGCAACUUACUUACUAGGUUUGUGUCUUUGGACUGCAUCCUAACAAACAACUGUGUCAAGACAUUUGAACAGCAUAUUCUACACAAAUAAAAAGGAAAUGAUAAAGAUAAAAGAAAUUAAUAGAAUGGAAAGUGAUGGAGAUAAACAAGUGAAAAGAUGGUCCUUUGAAAAGACUAAAACAUGGCCAAUGCACUGGCAAGAAUGAUUGGGACAAUAAACAAAAUAUAUAUGCCAGGGCAGCUCCCGGCGAGAUCGACGCAAAA